GCCUCGCCCGGGGCCGGGCAGCGCGGCGGAGCCGGGCCCGGCCCGGCCGCUGCCUCUCGGCUUGCCCGGCAGCGCGGCUCCGCAUUCACGAGCCCUGAAUCAGGCCGGCCGCGCUCGGGCGGGAUUUCCUAGUGCCGGUUCGCAAAAGCAUCUUCUCCAGAUGAAGGACAUGCCAUCCAUCCGGCAGCACUUCACUUAUUUCUCCCUUCGGGACGUAGGCUGAGAUGUCCUGCCUCCGGAAUGACCAAGACUGAGUUCACCCAGUGUUGUCCCAUGCAGUGUUUAUCCUCUACACACAGAGCUGUGACUUUAGAGAUUACAUUUUGAAGUUUUGUGCAAGUGUGUGUAGCUGCUCUGGAAGCUGAACUAGCUUGGGCAUAUUCCUUUAUUUUUGGAUGCAUGAAGUUUCUGGGAUAUGCUUUUGUGAUGACAAAGAAAUGCCACAUCCUGAGAUGUCUUCCCCACCCCAAUCCAAGCCCUAGGUGGAGAGCAGUUGGCUCCAUAAAACAGGACUCAUCUGUGUUUCUGCAAUACCAUUCUGUACAUAAAUAGGUUUGUGACGCUUUCAAUAUGCAUUAAUAGCUGCUUGGCUUUGAAGUCAUGGCUUCUAAAGGAAGAAGAAGCAAAAGUUUGCAUUCUUUCUUGUGCUCUGUCUUCAUCCCUAUGCCUCUUGUAGCUGGAUGCAUCUUGAACUCUUAAGUAGGAGAUGUGGGAUUGAAUCCCCAUUAGGCUGAAGAAGGCACUAAGCCUAGCCUCCCCUCUCUUCUGAGUGCAUUACCCCAUCACUUAUCCAAUGAUAUAUUGUUUCCUCUAGACCUAUUUUAAAAAUGAACCUUGUAUCCCAUCCUUUUAUUUUCAGGAAAAGACAUUUCUGGAAGUGCUGCCGACAGGACCCGGUUUGGGUGUGUUUUGGAAAGGAAUGGGGUUCAUACUUGUGUCUAAGUGUAGAGGCUUUCUUCUUGGGGUUGCCUGCUGGAGAUCAUAUGUCAAAUUCAUGUCACAGUCUGGCCCUAAAUCUGUUAAGACUACCCUGCAGAGGGAGAAGUCUGAGUGGGUGGAAAACAGGGUUGGUUUAUGAUUCAGAACAAGAAAUGUGAUUGUCCUUAUCUUACAGAAAGGAAGUACAAAUAAUACUUGGUCAUAAACAUUUUCGGAGUUAUUAUCCAGCUGCAUAGUUAAUCUGUGUGAACUCCAGCAGUACUGGAUUUUACUAAUGAUUACAUACCAUGUGCAGUCACUGUUUCUUGCUUGUAAAUCCCAUUUCUUUUCACCUGCACAUUCCUUAUAACAUUUUAUUGAAAUUUAGUCAGUUUUGACAAAAAAAUCCAAAUUUAGCUUUCACAACUGGGUAUAGAUCCACUGAGUAGAUUUUUUGUGUGCCUUUUCCUAAAUCCUAAUUAUUUAAAUUAAAAUGGCUGUUUAAAUUAUUUUUGCUGUGUUCAGGCAAGAUGUGCUCCAGUGCCAUGCGGGAUUGCUUUUGUACUGUUCAUUCAUGUACUGUUUGAAUCUUUAAAGAACUGGAUUUUUUAAAAGAUUAGAGUCAGGAUUGCAUUUUCAAGUUUCCACGCAAAAGCAUGGAAUUUAUGUUUGUGUUGAACUGCUUUUUAACAGCAUUUUUUGUGUAAGUAAUUGCAUCUUGGCAUGUUACAAGGUAAACUAAUGAUGCAGCUUCCAGUCCACCAAAGUCCACAAGUAGACAGAAGUAUAUUGAUUCACUGUGUGUAGGAAAGUCUGUCUAUACAACCACAAGGACUAAAAACUGCUCUUAAAUGGCUGUAAAAAGCUCUUUCCCCUUCAUGUUCUUAUGCUUAUGGCAGUCUAAUGUAAAGAGGCAUUGUCACAGAACUACGAAACCAGUUGCUAUCAAUUUGAGAUUAUGAAAAAUAGUUGAUGUUUUAGUUCCACAUAUAGUGAUUUGCAUAUUAUAUAUAGAAAUUAAAAUAUAUUUUCUGAAA
Passer domesticus (house sparrow) is the source of this 1955-nucleotide long non-coding RNA. RefSeq lists it as uncharacterized. The record is from RefSeq and is a predicted model, not a curated record. Lineage: Eukaryota; Metazoa; Chordata; Aves; Passeriformes; Passeridae. The transcript is spliced from 2 exons.